This 539-nucleotide ribosomal RNA is filed under the name uncultured bacterium. RNAcentral describes it as "bacterial SSU rRNA". It matches the Rfam family "Bacterial small subunit ribosomal RNA", at positions 8 to 526 of the family's 1533-position model. The record is from RNAcentral.
AGAGUUUGAUCAUGGCUCAGGACGAACGCUGGCGGCGUGCCUAACACAUGCAAGUCGAACGGAGAUUUCAGCAAUGGAAUCUUAGUGGCGAACGGGUGAGUAACGCGUAGACAACCUGCCUUCUAGAUGGGGACAACACUGCGAAAGUGGUGCUAAUACCGAAUGUUGUAUUGAGAAUGCAUAUUUUUGAUACUAAAGAUGGCCUCUAUAUAUAAGCUAUCGCUAGAAGAUGGGUCUGCGUCUGAUUAGCUAGUUGGUGAGGUAAUGGCUCACCAAGGCGACGAUCAGUAGCCGGUCUGAGAGGAUGAACGGCCACACUGGGACUGAGACACGGCCCAGACUCCUACGGGAGGCAGCAGUGGGGAAUCUUCCGCAAUGGACGAAAGUCUGACGGAGCAACGCCGCGUGAGUGAAGAAGGUUUUCGGAUCGUAAAACUCUGUUUUCAGGGACGAAUGUGCGAUGUGUAAAUAAUGCAUUGUAAUGACGGUACCUGAGUAGAAAGCCACGGCUAACUACGUGCCAGCCGCCGCGGUAAUAC